GAGUUUGAUCAUGGCUCAGAUUGAACGCUGGCGGCGUGCUUAACACAUGCAAGUCGAGCGGCAGCGCGGGGGCAACCCUGGCGGCGAGCGGCGAACGGGUGAGUAAUACAUCGGAACGUGUCCUGUCGUGGGGGAUAACCAGUCGAAAGAUUGGCUAAUACCGCAUGACCUCGUAAGAGAAAAGCGGGGGACCGUAAGGCCUCGCGCGAACUGGAGCGGCCGAUGUCGGAUUAGCUAGUUGGCGGGGUAAAAGCCCACCAAGGCGACGAUCCGUAGCUGGUUUGAGAGAACGACCAGCCGACACUGGGACUGAGACACGGCCCAGACUCCUACGGGAGGCAGCAGUGGGAAUUUUGGACAAUGGGGGCAACCCUGAUCCAGCCAUGCCGCGUGUGUGAAGAAGGCCUU
This 408-nucleotide ribosomal RNA is filed under the name uncultured beta proteobacterium. RNAcentral describes it as "bacterial SSU rRNA". It matches the Rfam family "Bacterial small subunit ribosomal RNA", at positions 9 to 418 of the family's 1533-position model. Lineage: Bacteria; Pseudomonadati; Pseudomonadota; Betaproteobacteria. The record is from RNAcentral.